This 432-nucleotide ribosomal RNA is filed under the name uncultured bacterium. Its description in RNAcentral is "partial 16S ribosomal RNA". It matches the Rfam family "Bacterial small subunit ribosomal RNA", at positions 29 to 507 of the family's 1533-position model. The record is from RNAcentral.
ACGAACGCUGGCGGCCUGCCUAACCCAUGCCAGUCGAACGAGACCUUCGGGUCUAGUGGCGCACGGGUGCGUAACGCGUGGGAACCUGCCCUUAGGUUCGGAAUAACUCCCCGAAAGGGGUGCUAAUACCGGAUAAUGUCUUCGGACCAAAGAUUUAUCGCCUUUGGAUGGGCCCGCGUUGGAUUAGCUAGUUGGUAGGGUAAAAGCCUACCAAGGCGCCGAUCCAUAGCUGGUCUGAGAGGAUGAUCAGCCACACUGGGACUGAGACACGGCCCAGACUCCUACGGGAGGCAGCAGUGGGGAAUAUUGGACAAUGGGCGAAAGCCUGAUCCAGCAAUGCCGCGUGAGUGAUGAAGGCCUUAGGGUUGUAAAGCUCUUUUACCCGGGAUGAUAAUGACAGUACCGGGAGAAUAAGCUCCGGCUAACUCCGUG